UGGCUCAGUAGGUAGAGCAUGGUGUUUGCAAUGCCAGCAUGGUGUGUGCAAUGCCAGGGUUGUGGGUUCGAUUCCCAC
This 78-nucleotide transfer RNA is filed under the name Salmo salar (Atlantic salmon). It matches the Rfam family "tRNA", at positions 8 to 63 of the family's 71-position model. From Rfam's summary of the family: Transfer RNA (tRNA) molecules are approximately 80 nucleotides in length. The record is from Rfam by way of RNAcentral. Lineage: Eukaryota; Metazoa; Chordata; Actinopteri; Salmoniformes; Salmonidae.